AGUUUUGCAGGUUUGCAUUUCA
RNAcentral lists this microRNA (22 nucleotides) under Homo sapiens (human). RNAcentral's name for it is "hsa-miR-19b-2-5p". Its record names the gene hsa-miR-19b-2-5p. Lineage: Eukaryota; Metazoa; Chordata; Mammalia; Primates; Hominidae. The record is from miRBase by way of RNAcentral.